GGAUGACCCUACAGCACAUCGUUCAGGUGAAACUUUAUACGUGCAGAAGGGGACGAUCCUCUAGAAAGUGCACAGACUGCUGAGGUGACGAGCCAUCCUUCCCGCUGCCCUGGGCUCAUCCUCCCGCUUACAGCCCUUCACUGAUGGACAGUGAGUCCAGCUGCGUCACCCUGACACCCAAGCCCACCUCGGGAGCCCAGCCACCAGGGCUGCUGGGUGAGCGGGCAGCACUCACCAGGCCGCUUGGCCUCUAGAGCUCUCACUGGCCGUGCCCAGGCUGCCCUGCUUGCUAGACGAUUCCACAGAGGCAAUCCUUCCAGUCUCCACCCACGCGCUACUGCCUUAGGUGCAGGACCGGGUAUGCAGCAGGUGCUCAAAACACACGUGCUAAACGAUGAAGCAGAUAGAACAGUUCCCAUUAGUGAAGACCAUGCCACCUGAUGAUGCAUAACUGUCACUUAACUUGUAGAGAAUUUUCAUAAAAAACACAAAGGAACAAAAGAGAAGCAUUUUCAUUCCACAGGGCAAAAAGCCUGAGAUACAAAACUGAGGCUGUCCUUCUGGAAAUUCUUUACGUGAGCUGGGCUACUCUUGAAGCCAGCAAGAAGCACUCUAAAUAGCAGAUGCCCCUUGGAAUUCCUGGGCUGGUCUUCCUCUUAACCUCUAUACACACAGCUUGGUACCGAGAAUCUCAAGAAGGCCACGUCUGAUUAUUGCACUGAAGGCCCUGACGGGGAUCUGGAGCUGGCUCCAGUCUGCAGCUUGCAUAUCGUCAACAAUGACAGUGGACCCUCACUUCAGCGCUCCUAAGGAGAUGGCCACUCAGCCCUUUAAAUCUCUGUAUUACAGGUCCUGUCCUUACCUGCAAUUCCACAAAUCCAAAAGCCCUGAAAACCAAAACUUUUUUCGUAAGUUUGAUGUAAAUUCAUGUGGUGGCAGACUUAAUCUGAACUGACUGGAGGCUGAUUACAGACUUCACAUAAAAAGAGUACAUUUAUUUAUAUAUUCAUAGUGUGCCUAGUCAUAAAUUUUGCUGUAUAAAUAUUACUAUGUUUGUAGGUGCUGUCUUAGAUCUUGCUGGGAGUGUAAUAUAAUAUAUGGUAGAUUCCCUUCUAAAAUAUAUUUUUUAAAAAAUCUGAAUUCUGAAAACAGGUAUCUGGCCCCAAGAGUUUUGGGUAAGGGAUUAUGAACUUAACUAGUAAUACUGUGAUACUUUCUUUGCAUCUCAAG
Long non-coding RNA from Physeter macrocephalus (sperm whale), 1230 nucleotides. RefSeq lists it as uncharacterized. NCBI's taxonomy places the organism in Eukaryota, Metazoa, Chordata, Mammalia, Artiodactyla, Physeteridae. The record is from RefSeq and is a predicted model, not a curated record. The transcript has 3 exons.